AUAAAAUAGGCAAACCUUAGCAUACCUUGAACUAUUAGAAAGUGCUGGUAAAGGGAAACCAACAAACCUGACAGGCCCUAAGUUCUUACUUUCUUUGAAAAGAGAUGGCCCAACCAUAUAGCCCAUAUACAAGUCAAAUCUCUCAGAUCUUUCUGGGUAAAAUCCCUCCCUCUCAUUCUCCUUCCCUUUACUUGCAAUUCCACAUGCCCACACAAUACUGGAGAAAUUUGGCCAUGCAAGGAGCUGUGCCAGGAUGAAUCAGCCCCUGCAGCUAUGCAGAAACAGGCACCACAGCCCCACUGCUCCUGUGCUGGAAAGGGUUUCUGUAGAAGAUUCCUGCAAAUUAAAAAUUGUAAACUGAUCUGAUCUGGGCUUCUGAAAAUGUGAAAUGAAAUAUGUAUUGCACAACAUGAAAAGCAACCACAAUGAAGACAGAGUAGGCUGGAUCAUCUGCUGGGAUUUAUGGCUUAUUGAUGCUCCUACUGAUUCCAGCAAAUGAGCCCGCUCAAGAUAACAGUUAUAAAGAAACUUUCAAGCCUUGUACAAUUGCUACACUCGUUUAACAGCCAAAUGAAUCAAACAGAUACAGAAACUAUUGAAGAGGCUUGAGUGGAGAAGUAGAAGAGCCAGUAUUGCUCCUGCCAGGCAUUGCCUGCCAAAAACAUUAGGAAGCUUUCUCUAUAUCUAAUAUUAGACAGCAGAACUGGACCUCUAGCUACUGUCUCCAGAAAUGCACCCAGCAGGAAUGAGCAUGUCUCCACAUGACAAGGCAGGAGAGCACAUAUGUCGUGCCAGGCGAUCACCACGCUUCAGGCAGGUUAUCAGAGAUGAUGCCAGAGGCCGGGUGCUGCCGGGAGCAAUGUGCUUUGCCCGCAGGAGUGAUGCUUCUUCGGCAGAGCACAGCAUAUGAUGCUGCUGUGGUUUUGA
Long non-coding RNA from Oxyura jamaicensis (ruddy duck), 927 nucleotides. RefSeq lists it as uncharacterized. The record is from RefSeq and is a predicted model, not a curated record. The transcript is spliced from 3 exons. Lineage: Eukaryota; Metazoa; Chordata; Aves; Anseriformes; Anatidae.